GUAGGUGGCAAGCGUUGUCCGGAAUUAUUGGGCGUAAAGCGCGCGCAGGCGGUUCUUUAAGUCUGAUGUGAAAGCCCACGGCUCAACCGUGGAGGGUCAUUGGAAACUGGAGAACUUGAGUACAGAAGAGGAGAGCGGAAUUCCACGUGUAGCGGUGAAAUGCGUAGAGAUGUGGAGGAACACCAGUGGCGAAGGCGGCUUUCUGGUCUGUAACUGACGCUGAGGCGCGAAAGCGUGGGGGGAGCAAACAGGAUUAGAUACCCUGGUAGUCCACGCCGUAAACGAUGAGUGCUAAGUGUUAGGGGGUUUCCGCCCCUUAGUGCUGCAGCUAACGCAUUAAGCACUCCGCCCUGGGAGUACGGCCGCAAGGCUG
Molecule: ribosomal RNA, 373 nt
Filed under: uncultured organism
Description: partial 16S ribosomal RNA
Rfam family: Bacterial small subunit ribosomal RNA
Source: RNAcentral